GACGAACGCUGGCGGCGUGCCUAAUACAUGCAAGUAGAACGCUGAAGGAGGAGCUUGCUUCUCUGGAUGAGUUGCGAACGGGUGAGUAACGCGUAGGUAACCUGCCUGGUAGCGGGGGAUAACUAUUGGAAACGAUAGCUAAUACCGCAUAAGAGUAGAUGUCGCAUGACAUUUGCUUAAAAGGUGCAAUAGCAUCACUACCAGAUGGACCUGCGUUGUAUUAGCUAGUUGGUGAGGUAACGGCUCACCAAGGCAACGAUACAUAGCCGACCUGAGAGGGUGAUCGGCCACACUGGGACUGAGACACGGCCCAGACUCCUACGGGAGGCAGCAGUAGGGAAUCUUCGGCAAUGGACGGAAGUCUGACCGAGCAACGCCGCGUGAGUGAAGAAGGUUUUCGGAUCGUAAAGCUCUGUUGUAAGAGAAGAACGAGUGUGAGAGUGGAAAGUUCACACUGUGACGGUAUCUUACCAGAAAGGGACGGCUAACUACGUG
Molecule: ribosomal RNA, 495 nt
Filed under: uncultured bacterium
Lineage: Bacteria
Description: partial 16S ribosomal RNA
Rfam family: Bacterial small subunit ribosomal RNA
Source: RNAcentral